This 449-nucleotide ribosomal RNA is filed under the name uncultured bacterium. Its description in RNAcentral is "bacterial SSU rRNA". It matches the Rfam family "Bacterial small subunit ribosomal RNA", at positions 328 to 795 of the family's 1533-position model. The record is from RNAcentral.
AGGCCAGACUCCUACGGGAGGCAGCAGUGGGGGAUAUUGCACAAUGGGGGAAACCCUGAUGCAGCGACGCCGCGUGUGGGAAGACGGUCCUCUGGAUUGUAAACCACUGUCCCCAGGGACGAAGAUGACGGUACCUGGGGAGGAAGCUCCGGCUAACUACGUGCCAGCAGCCGCGGUAAUACGGAGGAUGCGAGCGUUAUCCGGAUUUAUUGGGUUUAAGGGGUGCGCAGGCGGAGGUGCAAGUCAGCGGUCAAAUUGCGGGGCUCAACCCCGUACUGCCGUUGAAACUGCAUCCCUUGAGUGCGCGAGAAGUAUGCGGAAUGCGUGGUGUAGCGGUGAAAUGCAUAGAUAUCACGCAGAACCCCGAUUGCGAAGGCAGCAUACCGGUGCACAACUGACGCUCAGGCACGAAAGCGUGGGUAUCGAACAGGAUUAGAUACCCCGGUAUC